UGCUAAAAUCUGUAUAGACAUGAAUAAUUAAACCUAGCAGUGUCAGCCCAUAAAUGCUACACAGGUCGUGCUAGAGCUCUCCAUUCCAGAGUUCCGCAGCUUAGCAAAUUUAAAGCCUUAUUUAAAACUCUUUUAAAAAACAGCAAAAGAAGCCUUUCUCCAGUAUUUAGAUACAAUCCUGUUGCACAGAAAAUUGGCGCACAUACGGUAAAAAGUUUGGACACUGAUUCCAGUGUGUUGCAGGUCUUUCAGCCAACAUUACCACAAGGUGGCCAUUUCUUCACAGGUCGCUAUGCCUUCCAUAUAGUAAUAUAUCAAAAUAGCUGUCUAACCUAUUUAUUUAUUUAUGUAUCUAUUAUAAGAAUUAUAGCUUGGCAGGAAAUUCUGGCAAGGAUUAAUUUUAUGUAUGCGAUGUACGAUGUAAUAUUUGGAGAUGUAAUUUUAACAAACUUGAUGUUCAUAGUUUACCUAUACGCACAGCGUACAUUGAUAUUUUUUAUUUGUUUGUAUAUACUCCAGUAUGAGAUAUGUUAAUCUAUAAUCUUCAAGGAUACUUCAUUCAAAUGCGGAAUGUGGUGAUCGAGACAUUUCAAUGUUAUUAGUUUCUAGGGUAAAGUUUCUCAAACUGUGGUUUUCUGAUUGUCUCCAUCAGCAUUCGUAGAAUGACCUCAUUCAUGUUAACAUCUUAAUGCUAUGUAAGAUUUGGCUAAAUUCUUUGUGGUGCUCUGAAAUGAAAUUUAUCAUAUUAAAAUUAGAAGACUGAAAUCUAAUUAAAAGUAUUUUCACAGUAUCUAUAUCAAACAAGAUCUAGUUUGAAUAUAGGCUAGCUAUUAUGAGACCUAGUCUGGUUAAUCCCUUUCCUUCUCAAUGCUGUCAUUUAAUACGCAGUGGAUUUUAUAUGUAAUAAAUCUAUGUAAACCUCACUAAGUCUCUGGAUAAAUACUGGCUAUCACCUCUGAACCCAAGGUUAUAUCUAUCUUAUUACUUACCAUGGGCAUGAUGUAUGAUAAUAUGAAUAGUUGUGCACAGGCAAUGCUCAGGCUGUCCUGCAAUGCUUAAUAACAGUUGAUAGCUUUCUAACGUACUGCAGGGGUGUCCAAUCUUGGCCCUCUGGCAAUUUCUGGGGAUGGCUAGCAGAGAAUCAUGGGAAGUGUAAUCACAUAAUAGGUUGAGCAUAGCUAUGGGUCGACACAUAUGAUGUAGCCUUUAAAAGAGACUUUUUUUGUCCAUAUACAAUGCAUGGGAGCGAGCCACUAUAUCAUUUGUACAAGUGAUCUGCUAUUUAACUGUACUUUAUCUAAUGUCCAGAAUCUUAGAAAGAAAAGUUGCUGUGUCAAUAGUAUUGUUAAAACAAGCUGUGUUAGGAAUAGGCAACACCUAGCACCCUAACUGCUGAGUACAGCUUCCACUAUACCCAGCUGGGAGUUAUAGUCCAGUGCAGCUAUGAUGCCAGUCGAUACCUUCUCCUGCGGCUGAGUGCCUCAUUACUUACAUGUCUGCAUUAUUAGACUAUUACACAUUGCAGAAUCAUAUAUGCCACGACCAACUAUUGUUAGUAGAUCUUUAAAUGACUCCAUUACAUGGAAAUAUAAUGAAAAUUAUAUUUAAAAAUUAAAUAUUAAAUUGAAAGUAGGCUACAAUUUGAAAAUACCCCUGUUUUGUUUCUGUGGCAUUUUUAUUUCCAAUCACAUAUCCCUCCUGUUAUAUACCUCCCAUGUAGCCACUACUCACGGUAUGGUCCUAGCCACAAGCCCUGUGCUGUGUCUUGUAACUGUGAUGUAUAAUUCUGAGUGUUUGGGGUGUGGGGUUGUGCAGUUCGGGGCUCUUUGAUCUCUUAACUCUUUCACUACCAUAUGGUUCCACCGUGAAUUGUUUUUCCACCUUGCAGAGAAAGAGUUAAUAUCCUAACCAGGAGCACCAUGAUCUUGAAUACUUAAUUCAUUAAUAAAUGUGUCAGUUAUGCAUAUAACAACUCA
Molecule: long non-coding RNA, 1976 nt
Filed under: Pelobates cultripes (western spadefoot toad)
Lineage: Eukaryota; Metazoa; Chordata; Amphibia; Anura; Pelobatidae
Source: RNAcentral